This 440-nucleotide ribosomal RNA is filed under the name uncultured bacterium. RNAcentral describes it as "partial 16S ribosomal RNA". It matches the Rfam family "Bacterial small subunit ribosomal RNA", at positions 338 to 795 of the family's 1533-position model. The record is from RNAcentral.
CCUACGGGCGGCUGCAGUGGGGAAUAUUGCACAAUGGGGGAAACCCUGAUGCAGCGACGCCGCGUGAGUGAAGAAGUAUUUCGGUAUGUAAAGCUCUAUCAGCAGGGAAGAAAAUGACGGUACCUGAUUAAGAAGCCCCGGCCAACUACGUGCCAGCAGCCGCGGGAAUACGUAGGGGGCAAGCGUUAUCCGGAUUUACUGGGUGUAAAGGGAGCGUAGACGGCAGCAUAAGUCUGGAGUGAAAUGCCGGGGCUUAACCCCGGAACUGCUUUGGAAACUGUGCAGCUAGAGUGCAGGAGAGGUAAGUGGAAUGCCUAGUGUAGCGGUGAAAUGCGUAGAUAUUAGGAGGAACACCAGUGGCGAAGGCGGCUUACUGGACUGUAACUGACGUUGAGGCUCGAAAGCGUGGGGAGCAAACAGGAUUAGAUACCCCAGUAGUC